Molecule: unclassified non-coding RNA, 330 nt
Filed under: uncultured Tremellaceae
Lineage: Eukaryota; Fungi; Basidiomycota; Tremellomycetes; Tremellales; Tremellaceae
Description: sequence contains ITS1
Rfam family: 5.8S ribosomal RNA (bases 1-105)
Source: RNAcentral
GAAAUGCGAUAAGUAAUGUGAAUUGCAGAAUUCAGUGAAUCAUCAGAUCUUUGGACGCACCUUGCGCCUUUUGGUAUGCCGAAAGGCAUCCCUGUUUGAGUGUCAUGAAAUCUCAAUCCCCCCGGGUUUUCUGAACCCGAGGUGGACUUGGACAUGGGUGUCUGCCGUCUCGUACGGCUCGCCUUAAAUGACUCAGUGGGAUCUUCAGCAUCCGUUGCAGACGUAAUAAGUUUAGUCUCGUCCCUUGCUGCGUGGACCGCUCGUAACCUGCCAUCGCGCACCACUUUUGACUCUGACCUCAAAUCAGGUAGGACUUCCCGCUGAACUUAA